CAGUGUCCCACUCAUGGACGUCGGGGAGACGGCCAUGGUCACUGCUGACUCCAAGUACUGCUACGGCCCACAAGGCAGCAGGAGCCCAUACAUCCCCCCGCACGCGGCCCUGUGCCUGGAGGUGACCCUGAAGACGGCUGUGGACGGGCCUGAUCUGGAGAUGCUCACGGGGCAGGAGCGCGUGGCCCUGGCCAACCGGAAGCGGGAGUGCGGCAACGCCCACUACCAGCGGGCGGACUUCGUCCUGGCCGCCAACUCCUAUGACCUCGCCAUCAAGGCCAUCACCUCCAGCGCCAAAGGUGACCGCCUGGGUCAGAUCCCCACCAUCUCCCCUGCAAAGGUGUCCACUCUGUGCCAGAAACUUCCAGCCCCAGAGAGCCUCAGACUCAGAAUAUUCUAGAAUAGCCCAGAAUAUGGGUAGAUCCCCAACUGCCCCUAA
This 439-nucleotide small RNA is filed under the name Pongo abelii (Sumatran orangutan). RNAcentral's name for it is "retained intron". Lineage: Eukaryota; Metazoa; Chordata; Mammalia; Primates; Hominidae. The record is from RNAcentral.